Molecule: non-coding RNA, 74 nt
Organism: Ochromonadaceae sp. CCMP2298
Lineage: Eukaryota; Synurophyceae; Ochromonadales; Ochromonadaceae
Source: the annotation of a GenBank genome assembly
GCGGGAAUAGCUCAGUUGGUUAGAGCGUCGGUCUCAUAAUCCGGAGGUCGUGAGUUCGAUCCUCACUUUCCGCA